This 443-nucleotide ribosomal RNA is filed under the name uncultured bacterium. RNAcentral describes it as "partial 16S ribosomal RNA". It matches the Rfam family "Bacterial small subunit ribosomal RNA", at positions 338 to 795 of the family's 1533-position model. The record is from RNAcentral.
CCUACGGGAGGCAGCAGUGGGGGAUAUUGGACAAUGGGGGGAACCCUGAUCCAGCGACGCCGCGUGAGUGAAGAAGUAUUUCGGUAUGUAAAGCUCUGUCAGCAGGGAAGAAAGAAAUGACGGUACCUGACCAAGAAGCCCCGGCUACCUACGUGCCAGCAGCCGCGGUAAUACGUAGGGGGCAAGCGUUAUCCGGAAUUACUGGGUGUAAAGGGAGCGUAGACGGUUAAGUAAGUCUGGAGUGAAAGGCCGGGGCCCAACCCCGGGACUGUUCUGGAAACUAUUGAGCUUGAGUGCAGGGGAGGUAAGCGGAAUUCCUAGUGUAGCGGUGAAAUGCGUAGAUAUUAGGAGGAACACCAGUGGCGAAGGCGGCUUACUGGACUGUAACUGACGUUGAGGCUCGAAAGCGUGGGGAGCAAACAGGAUUAGAUACCCCGGUAGUC